Molecule: long non-coding RNA, 660 nt
Organism: Nicotiana tabacum (common tobacco)
Lineage: Eukaryota; Viridiplantae; Streptophyta; Magnoliopsida; Solanales; Solanaceae
Source: RefSeq, a predicted model, not a curated record
CUNCUUUUUCUUUUUACUUGCGUGCAAGAUGGUUCGGCCCUUCUCCCCCCCACCCCCACUAUUUUUUUUUCUCUUCUUUGCUUCUUUUGGGGUUUCACCGGUGGUAGCGGUGACAGGCCCCCUACCCCCACCCUUUUUGGUUUCGUGGUGUUUUGUGUGUCUUUCAGGUAUUACUCGGUGGUUAUUGGAGACGAGUGGGAAGCGCGCGCACAAACAUAAGAGACCAACCAAGGCAAGUGUCGCAAGGGGCGGUGGGAAGUUGGACGUGAACGCGCCAAGUGCCGUAACAUCGUCGUGUACACCAAGUCAAUUUCUAGGUUCCAUUCUCGAGAGUUGAUCCAGGUAUUUCUGGACAUAAAGGGUGCUAACUCUCUCGCAGAGUUGAUUUUUUCGGAGAUUCAGAGGAAUGUCUCGCAAUCGCCGACUCUUGGUCGUCUGUAAAUGUCGAAAUUGCGCAUGUGGCUGUGGAUGUCCAGGCCGUAACUAGUACUCUAGCUCCGCCUCUGACAAGAGAUAUACGUAGAUCAUGCUUCUAUAUCUGUGUGUGAAAAUAUAAUAUUUAUAGGUGUACUGUACUUUGUCUAGAAGACUCUAUUGGCACCUAUGAAAGUUCCCUUUGUAAUGUUACUGUUUGUCUAAGUGGAAUUUUUCUACUCUUAA